GUAGGUGAACCUGCGGAGGGAUCAUUACUGAGUGAGCGCUCUCGGGCGCGACCUCCAACCCCAUUGUUAUCCGACCCUGUUGCCUCGGGGGUGACCCGGCCUUCGGGCUCGGGGCCCCCGGUGGACCCCAAUCAAACACUGCAUCUUUGCGUCUGAGUGAUUACUACAAUCAAAUCAAAACUUUCAACAACGGAUCUCUUGGUUCUG
This 207-nucleotide unclassified non-coding RNA is filed under the name rhizosphere metagenome. RNAcentral's name for it is "partial ribosomal RNA internal transcribed spacer region". The record is from RNAcentral.